RNAcentral lists this ribosomal RNA (1305 nucleotides) under uncultured bacterium. RNAcentral's name for it is "bacterial SSU rRNA". It matches the Rfam family "Bacterial small subunit ribosomal RNA", at positions 69 to 1381 of the family's 1533-position model. The record is from RNAcentral.
GAAAGGCCCUGCUUUUGUGGGGUGCUCGAGUGGCGAACGGGUGAGUAACACGUGAGUAACCUGCCCUUGACUUUGGGAUAACUUCAGGAAACUGGGGCUAAUACCGGAUAGGAGCUCCUGCUGCAUGGUGGGGGUUGGAAAGUUUCGGCGGUUGGGGAUGGACUCGCGGCUUAUCAGCUUGUUGGUGGGGUAGUGGCUUACCAAGGCUUUGACGGGUAGCCGGCCUGAGAGGGUGACCGGCCACAUUGGGACUGAGAUACGGCCCAGACUCCUACGGGAGGCAGCAGUGGGGAAUAUUGCACAAUGGGCGGAAGCCUGAUGCAGCAACGCCGCGUGCGGGAUGACGGCCUUCGGGUUGUAAACCGCUUUCGCCUGUGACGAAGCGUGAGUGACGGUAAUGGGUAAAGAAGCACCGGCUAACUACGUGCCAGCAGCCGCGGUGAUACGUAGGGUGCGAGCGUUGUCCGGAUUUAUUGGGCGUAAAGGGCUCGUAGGUGGUUGAUCGCGUCGGAAGUGUAAUCUUGGGGCUUAACCCUGAGCGUGCUUUCGAUACGGGUUGACUUGAGGAAGGUAGGGGAGAAUGGAAUUCCUGGUGGAGCGGUGGAAUGCGCAGAUAUCAGGAGGAACACCAGUGGCGAAGGCGGUUCUCUGGGCCUUUCCUGACGCUGAGGAGCGAAAGCGUGGGGAGCGAACAGGCUUAGAUACCCUGGUAGUCCACGCUGUAAACGGUGGGUACUAGGUGUGGGGUCCAUUCCACGGGUUCCGUGCCGUAGCUAACGCUUUAAGUACCCCGCCUGGGGAGUACGGCCGCAAGGCUAAAACUCAAAGGAAUUGACGGGGCCCCGCACAAGCGGCGGAGCAUGCGGAUUAAUUCGAUGCAACGCGUAGAACCUUACCUGGGUUUGACAUGGAUCGGGAGUGCUCAGAGAUGGGUGUGCCUCUUUUGGGGUCGGUUCACAGGUGGUGCAUGGCUGUCGUCAGCUCGUGUCGUGAGAUGUUGGGUUAAGUCCCGCAACGAGCGCAACCCUUGUUCACUGUUGCCAGCACGUUAUGGUGGGGACUCAGUGGAGACCGCCGGGGUCAACUCGGAGGAAGGUGGGGAUGACGUCAAGUCAUCAUGCCCCUUAUGUCCAGGGCUUCACGCAUGCUACAAUGGCUGGUACAGAGAGUGGCGAGCCUGUGAGGGUGAGCGAAUCUCGGAAAGUCGGUCUCAGUUCGGAUUGGGGUCUGCAACUCGACCUCAUGAAGUCGGAGUCGCUAGUAAUCGCAGAUCAGCAACGCUGCGGUGAAUACGUUCCCGGGGCU